RNAcentral lists this ribosomal RNA (495 nucleotides) under Pleurocordyceps nipponica. RNAcentral describes it as "SSU rRNA". It matches the Rfam family "Eukaryotic small subunit ribosomal RNA", at positions 65 to 568 of the family's 1831-position model. The record is from RNAcentral. Lineage: Eukaryota; Fungi; Ascomycota; Sordariomycetes; Hypocreales; Polycephalomycetaceae.
ACAAGCAUUAUACGGCGAAACUGCGAAUGGCUCAUUCUAUAAGUUAUCGUUUAUUUGAUAGCACAUUACUACUUGGAUAACCGUGGUAAUUCUAGAGCUAAUACACGCUAAAAAUCCCGACUUCGGAAGGGAUGUAUUUAUUAGAUUAAAAACCAAUGCCCUCUGGGCUCUCUGGUGAAUCAUGAUAACUGCUCGAAUCGCAGGGCCUCGUGCCGGCGAUGGUUCAUUCAAAUUUCUUCCCUAUCAACUUUCGAUGUUUGGGUAUUGGCCAAACAUGGUUACAACGGGUAACGGAGGGUUAGGGCUCGACCCCGGAGAAGGAGCCUGAGAGACGGCUACUACAUCCAAGGAAGGCAGCAGGCGCGCAAAUUACCCAAUCCCGACACGGGGAGGUAGUGACAAUAAAUACUGAUACAGGGCUCUUUCGGGUCUUGUAAUUGGAAUGAGUACAAUUUAAAUCCCUUAACGAGGAACAAUUGGAGGGCAAGUCUGGCC